GACGAACGCUGGCGGCGUGCUUAACACAUGCAAGUCGAACGGAAAGGCCCUGCUUGCAGGGUACUCGAGUGGCGAACGGGUGAGCAACACGUGGGUGAUCUGCCCUGCACUUCGGGAUAAGCCUGGGAAACUGGGUCUAAUACCGGAUAGGAGCCAUUUUUAGUGUGAUGGUUGGAAAGUUUUUUCGGUGUAGGAUGAGCUCGCGGCCUAUCAGCUUGUUGGUGGGGUAAUGGCCUACCAAGGCGGCGACGGGUAGCCGGCCUGAGAGGGUGGACGGCCACAUUGGGACUGAGAUACGGCCCAGACUCCUACGGGAGGCAGCAGUGGCGAAUAUUGCACAAUGGGCGCAAGCCUGAUGCAGCGACGCCGCGUGGGGGAUGACGGCCUUCGGGUUGUAAACUCCUUUCGCUAGGGACGAAGCUUUUUGUGACGGUACCUAGAUAAGAAGCACCGGCUAACUACGUG
This 465-nucleotide ribosomal RNA is filed under the name uncultured bacterium. RNAcentral's name for it is "partial 16S ribosomal RNA". It matches the Rfam family "Bacterial small subunit ribosomal RNA", at positions 28 to 507 of the family's 1533-position model. The record is from RNAcentral.